UCUCAGUUCCAAACAUUUGUAUGAAAAUGAAUUUACCCGAACAGAUCAAUUCAAGCAAGGGGGCGGGGGAAUGGGUGACUUUUACAUCAUGGAGGAGAUUCCUUUUACAGAAAAGCAGGGCAUUCCUCACUGAUAGUUUGUCUUAACUGGAUGCAACGAUGGACAAGUAUUAGGCUGGUCCUCCCUUGCAGCUCAAAAUGUAGUUCAAAGAACAAGUAAGUGGUAGUGACUUGGAAAGUAUGGAAAAGACUUUGGUUUCAGUAAGCAUAUUAAAGCAUACGUAGUUCUAAUUCAGCCUUAGCACAAAGCUCCCAGGUUGUGCCUUUACUGCCACUAUGGAAAGUCCUUAUCUGUGAAGGAGAAAUCUGUUCCCUCUCCUGCAAGCCUUCUUAUACUUGUCUACAUGAAUUCCUUGCUGCAUUUGGCUAACAGACUGUUAAAUACAAAGCUCUGGUUUAUUUGUUUGUUUAAUCCCUACAGUCCAAGUGGCUUAAAAAUGGAUGAAGACGCUUGUAGCAUAUACACUGAAACUAAUAUGUAUCUUUCAGAAUCUAGGUGGAGAAACUGUGUGUGUGUGUGUGUGUGUGUGUGUGUGUAACACAAUUAGUAUUUUCUUUUCCAACUAAGAAAAAAUGUAAGAAUUUAUUUAGGCAAACAGGAACCAAAACAUAUGGUUACAGGGUCCAGCAGAGAUCUAUAGGUUACUAUAUUAUUUCCAAUGGUUGUUUCAUAGUUUAGGUUUAAUAUAUUAUUGACAGAUUCAUAUCAAUAACUGAUUCUAGACUAGAUGUGAAUUUAUUAACGUAAUUUAACUAGCAGAACCGAAUUAAAUACUGGAUUGAAACUCA
This is a non-coding RNA of Podarcis muralis (Common wall lizard), 848 nucleotides long. The record is from RefSeq and is a predicted model, not a curated record. NCBI's taxonomy places the organism in Eukaryota, Metazoa, Chordata, Lepidosauria, Squamata, Lacertidae.